AUUUGCAGUUGAGCCUGAAAGCAGCGGGCUCGAUGGACGAGGCUAUUUCUGCCUGGUAGGCUGUGUUUCCAUGAGUCUCGGUUUCUUGCUCUCCGUAGUCACAAUCCUGGCUCUCGUCACGGGCGGUCUGUCAAACCCUGCCGCAACAACGGUCCUAGAUGAAGAGGGCGGCGGUGGGUCAUCAUCCUCAUCUUUCCCAUCAUUCCCAGUCGCAACCCGUGCAAACGUUCAAGUCUCUGUACAGCGCACGGUGCCUGCACUCAGCACUGUGGGGAUGCCUGCAGCUGAGCCGAUGAUACCAACUAUGGCCACUAUGCCGAAAGUGCCGACAGUGACCCAUGUGCCUCCGACGA
This is a long non-coding RNA of Dermacentor silvarum, 353 nucleotides long. RefSeq lists it as uncharacterized. The transcript is spliced from 3 exons. Lineage: Eukaryota; Metazoa; Arthropoda; Arachnida; Ixodida; Ixodidae. The record is from RefSeq and is a predicted model, not a curated record.